CAUGCAAGUCGACGAUGAUGCCCAGCUUGCUGGGCGGAUUAGUGGCGAACGGGUGAGUAAUACGUGAGUAACCUGCCCUUGACUCUGGGAUAAGCCUGGGAAACUGGGUCUAAUACUGGAUACUACCUCUUGCCGCAUGGUGGGUGGUGGAAAGGGUUUUACUGGUUUUGGAUGGGCUCACGGCCUAUCAGCUUGUUGGUGGGGUAAUGGCUCACCAAGGCGACGACGGGUAGCCGGCCUGAGAGGGUGACCGGCCACACUGGGACUGAGACACGGCCCAGACUCCUACGGGAGGCAGCAGUGGGGAAUAUUGCACAAUGGGCGGAAGCCUGAUGCAGCGACGCCGCGUGAGGGAUGACGGCCUUCGGGUUGUAAACCUCUUUCAGUAGGGAAGAAGCGAGAGUGACGGUACCUGCAGAAGAAGCGCCGGCUAACUACGUGCCAGCAGCCGCGGUAAUACGUAGGGCGCAAGCGUUGUCCGGAAUUAUUGGGCGUAAAGAGCUCGUAGGCGGUUUGUCGCGUCUGCUGUGAAAGCCCGGGGCUCAACCCCGGGUCUGCAGUGGGUACGGGCAGACUAGAGUGCAGUAGGGGAGACUGGAAUUCCUGGUGUAGCGGUGAAAUGCGCAGAUAUCAGGAGGAACACCGAUGGCGAAGGCAGGUCUCUGGGCUGUUACUGACGCUGAGGAGCGAAAGCAUGGGGAGCGAACAGGAUUAGAUACCCUGGUAGUCCAUGCCGUAAACGUUGGGCACUAGGUGUGGGGGACAUUCCACGUUUUCCGCGCCGUAGCUAACGCAUUAAGUGCCCCGCCUGGGGAGUACGGCCGCAAGGCUAAAACUCAAAGGAAUUGACGGGGGCCCGCACAAGCGGCGGAGCAUGCGGAUUAAUUCGAUGCAACGCGAAGAACCUUACCAAGGCUUGACAUUCACCGGACCGCCCCAGAGAUGGGGUUUCCCUUCGGGGCUGGUGGACAGGUGGUGCAUGGUUGUCGUCAGCUCGUGUCGUGAGAUGUUGGGUUAAGUCCCGCAACGAGCGCAACCCUCGUUCUAUGUUGCCAGCACGUGAUGGUGGGGACUCAUAGGAGACUGCCGGGGUCAACUCGGAGGAAGGUGGGGAUGACGUCAAAUCAUCAUGCCCCUUAUGUCUUGGGCUUCACGCAUGCUACAAUGGCCGGUACAAAGGGUUGCGAUACUGUGAGGUGGAGCUAAUCCCAAAAAGCCGGUCUCAGUUCGGAUUGAGGUCUGCAACUCGACCUCAUGAAGUCGGAGUCGCUAGUAAUCGCAGAUCAGCAACGCUGCGGUGAAUACGUUCCCGGGCCUUGUACACACCGCCCGUCAAGUCACGAAAGUUGGUAACACCCGAAGCCGGUGGCCUAACCCCUUG
This 1381-nucleotide ribosomal RNA is filed under the name Kocuria rosea. Its description in RNAcentral is "bacterial SSU rRNA". It matches the Rfam family "Bacterial small subunit ribosomal RNA". The record is from RNAcentral. Lineage: Bacteria; Bacillati; Actinomycetota; Actinomycetes; Micrococcales; Micrococcaceae.